CUACGGGUCGCUGCAGUGGGGAAUAUUGGGCAAUGGGCGAAAGCCUGACCCAGCAACGCCGCGUGAAAGAAGAAGGUUUUCGGAUCGUAAACUUCUAUCCCGGGUGAAGAUAAUGACGGUAGCCCGGAAGGAAGCCCCGGCUAACUACGUGCCAGCAGCCGCGGUAAUACGUAGGGGGCAAGCGUUGUCCGGAAUGAUUGGGCGUAAAGGGCGCGUAGGCGGCCCACUAAGUCCGAUGUGAAAGUCCUGCUUUUAAGGUGGGAAUUGCAUUGGAAACUGGAGGGCUUGAGUGCAGGAGAGGUAAGUGGAAUUCCCGGUGUAGCGGUGAAAUGCGUAGAGAUCGGGAGGAACACCAGUGGCGAAGGCGACUUACUGGACUGUAACUGACGCUGAGGCGCGAAAGUGUGGGGAGCAAACAGGAUUAGAUACCCCGGUAGUC
This 439-nucleotide ribosomal RNA is filed under the name uncultured bacterium. Its description in RNAcentral is "partial 16S ribosomal RNA". It matches the Rfam family "Bacterial small subunit ribosomal RNA", at positions 339 to 795 of the family's 1533-position model. The record is from RNAcentral.